Molecule: transfer-messenger RNA, 403 nt
Filed under: Candidatus Kaiserbacteria bacterium RIFCSPLOWO2_01_FULL_53_17
Lineage: Bacteria; Candidatus Kaiseribacteriota
Also listed under: 1 other name
Rfam family: transfer-messenger RNA
About the family: Bacterial tmRNA, also known as 10Sa RNA or SsrA, is named for its dual tRNA and mRNA-like properties. Its role is to liberate the mRNA from a stalled ribosome.
Source: RNAcentral
GGGGGUGACUGGUUUCGAUAGGAAAUCAGGCCUGCCUGUGUGCAAGACGGAAGCGGACGUUCUUCCUAAAAAAUGUCCAAACCUAAGUGCAAAUAAAACUGCACGGGGGGCUCUUUCUCCGAUUCAGGCGAAAGACCUCGGCCUCGUCUUCGCUUAAACGCCAGGGCGACCGCUCGCGUAAUCUUUCCGAUAGAUUGCUGCGAACGUCAUAACUUCGGAUCCGAUUCCUAGCUCACUCCGGCUUGGAAUCUAAAGAAAGAGAGUCCGGAAUUGUGGGAUCUUGAACAUUCCCUACCCGCAAUUUCUAAAUCCGCCAGCCGGCGGAAAAAGAAUGUUCUAUGUCUUGUAGAAUCGCUUGCAGAUCAUUUUCUACACGCGGGAUCAUUCCCCGCCACCUCCACAU